This 1628-nucleotide long non-coding RNA is filed under the name Phasianus colchicus (ring-necked pheasant). RNAcentral's name for it is "lncRNA (ENSPCLG00000003803.1)". The record is from RNAcentral. Lineage: Eukaryota; Metazoa; Chordata; Aves; Galliformes; Phasianidae.
UCCAUUUCCCUGCCUUCUUUUCCCAUGCCCCUUCCCCCUCUCCCAGGGUGUGGGUCCUCUGCCCCAAUUAGUUACAGAACCAGGCUGAACUGGCUCAGAAACCGCUGACAUUUUAAUAGAUCCAUUGAAUGGGAAAGAUGUACUUUUGAAACAAACCUCUUAGUACUCUCUGAGAGCUUUGUUAGAAAGCUUAUCAGUACUGCAGGACUUGUAUUGCAAACAAGGCCUUGAAGUCCAUGCGGAUCACCAAUACUACGGGAAGUUUGUAAAAAUGUAUUUGCUUUUUCUGGUAAAACUGUUCUUCAAAUACCUAUCUGGUGUCUGCAUACAGUGUGAUACGAAUUGGACAUUGAAAGGUACAUCCUGUAAGUAAUGUCUGCUCUGUAUUUAAUGCCUCCUACUUGAUUGUGUUGGCCCAGAAAGUUAGAAGUGGGCAUUGGUAUUAUGGCAGUAGGGAUUGAACCUUCCCACUAAUACUCCAUUAUGUUUUGUUGCUCUGUGACAGCCGGCAUCAGAGGGGCAGUCUGACCAAACAGUGUCUGACGUAUGAAGCAGAUUUAUGUCACUGAAUUCCUCCAUGUGGAAAAAAAGGCACCCACUGACACUCAUUGACACUUAAUGAAUGUUUAUGGACAGCAAAGAGUGGAUGUGAGCACAGUCAGGCUGCAGGUGGUAUAUUUCAGCAAUGGCAACAGCACCGUGAGAAACAAGCCAUGUGAGGGAUGGCCGUGUUCAGCUGUCAGUAGUUUGAUAUGAAAAGUGUCUUGAUCAGAGAGAAAGGUCUGGACAAGUGCACAACAAGAUGCAGCUGGAAGCUAAAAUUACACCAAAAGAAACAUCAAAUAAAGCACAGAUUUUGAACUAGGAGCUCCAUGUAAUGGCAUAAAAACAACAAACAAACAAAUGAAAAACAAACACAGAUUUUUUUCCAAUCUUCCUGAUGUUUGUUUUACCUUUUUGGAAGGUAUGCUUGAACAAGGGCAGGAUACUGGUUCCAGUAGAAGACUGGGUCACAGGAGCCAUGAAGAACAUCUAUGUGUAGGCAGAAAAUAUGUCUAAGCUCUCUGCCACAGGAAGAGUCUGCUCUGAGAAGAACUGAUGUCUGAACUCUACAUUUUUCCCUGUUAAGAGUCCCAGGCUACAUGGCUAUUUCUUAAGCAUGGCAUCUGUAUCAGAACUGUUUGUUUCCUGUAAUGAAAUGACAUUUGAAUGGACCUAAUUCUGCAGCCAGUCUAGAUUGAUUGCAAAGCGUGUGAAAUGUAUUUUAGCCCCAAAACUUCAGAGACUUGUCAGAGAUAAGAAACAAGCCAGAAAAUGGUUUUUACCUCUAAUUGUGUUUUGUUGUUAGGCCUUGAGCAGUGAGAGGAAGCAAGAACACAUUUAGGUGCACCACCCUAGCAAAGAGAAUACAUGUGUGUAUAAACAAUACAAAUUCCUCACAUCAAACCUUUAACCUUUCACUGGGUCUGUUCCAACCUCCUGUGUUUUUUUCCUCUGAAAAACUCUUCCUUCCAUCCUCUUGUUAACAUACUUAGUACAUUUUGAACUGUGUUAAUGACAAGCAAAAUGUAUAUAUAAUUGAGCUUGGUAAAAAUAAAAAUUAAAUUAAAAAAACCCUGUAUAAAGAC